Molecule: ribosomal RNA, 1189 nt
Filed under: Rhynchocypris cf. lagowskii CF-2013
Lineage: Eukaryota; Metazoa; Chordata; Actinopteri; Cypriniformes; Leuciscidae
Description: partial 16S ribosomal RNA
Rfam family: Bacterial large subunit ribosomal RNA
Source: RNAcentral
GGUGAGCUACCCCGAGACAGCCUAUAUUAAUCUAGGGCUAACCCGUCUCUGUGGCAAAAGAGUGGGAAGAGCUCCGGGUAGAAGUGAAAGACCUACCGAACCUGGUGAUAGCUGGUUGACUGAGAAAUGGAUAGAAGUUCAGCCUCGUACACCCCAAACCAAGAAAUGUUAUCGCCAAGAUAUUUAGGGAAACGUACGAGAGUUAGUUGAAAGGGGUACAGCCCUUUUAACAAAGGAUACAACCUUUACAGGAGGAUAAAGAUCAUAAUGUAUAAGAUAUACUGUUCUAGUGGGCCUGAAAGCAGCCACCUAAACAGAAAGCGUUAAAGCUCGGACAGAAAGAAGUUUAUUAUACUGAUAAAAAAUCUUAUUCCCCUAACUUUAUCAGACCAACCCAUGCCCACAUGGAAGAGAUUAUGCUAAAAUGAGUAAUAAGAAGACCCGCUCUUCUCCCAGCACAAGUGUAAACCAGAUCGGACCAACCACUGGAGCUUAACGAACCCAACCCAAGAGGGUAGUGUGACUAAGAGAAAACACGAGAAGACCUCACAUUAAUUGAUCGUUAACCCCACACUGGAGUGCUAUUUUAAGGGAAAGACUAAAAGAAGAGGAAGGAACUCGGCAAACACAAGCCUCGCCUGUUUACCAAAAACAUCGCCUCCUGCAACUAAACUGAGUAUAGGAGGUCCAGCCUGCCCAGUGACUACGGGUUCAACGGCCGCGGUAUCUUGACCGUGCAAAGGUAGCGCAAUCACUUGUCUCUUAAAUAGAGACCUGUAUGAAUGGCUAGACGAGGGCUUAACUGUCUCCCCCUUCCAGUCAGUGAAAUUGAUCUAUCCGUGCAGAAGCGGGUAUAAAUAUACAAGACGAGAAGACCCUUUGGAGCUUAAGGUACAAAUUCAACCACGUUAAACGACUCUGUAAAAGGCAAGAACUUAGUGACAAUGAAAUUUUACCUUCGGUUGGGGCGACCGCGGAGGAAAAACGAGCCUCCGAGUGGACUGGGCCAAACCCCUGAAGCCAAUAGAAACAUCUAUAAGCCGCAGAACAUCUGACCAAAAAUGAUCCGGCUAAAGAGCCGAUCAACGAACCAAGUUACCCAAGGGAUAACAGCGCAAUCCCCUCCCAGAGCCCAUAUCUACGAGGGGGUUUACGACCUCGAUGUUGGAUCAGGACAUCCUAAUGGUGC